Molecule: ribosomal RNA, 204 nt
Filed under: uncultured bacterium
Lineage: Bacteria
Description: partial 16S ribosomal RNA
Rfam family: Bacterial small subunit ribosomal RNA
Source: RNAcentral
CAGUUCGGAUCGGAGUCUGCAACCCGACUCCGUGAAGCUGGAUUCGCUAGUAAUCGCGCAUCAGCCAUGGCGCGGUGAAUACGUUCCCGGGCCUUGUACACACCGCCCGUCAAGCCAUGGGAGCCGGGGGUGCUUGAAGUGCGUCGCCGCAAGGCGCGCCCUAGAGCAAAACCGGUGACUGGGGCUAAGUCGUAACAAGGUAAC